AUUGAACGCUGGCGGUAGGCCUAACACAUGCAAGUCGAACGGCAGCACAGGAGAGCUUGCUCUCUGGGUGGCGAGUGGCGGACGGGUGAGGAAUACAUCGGAAUCUACUUUUUCGUGGGGGAUAACGUAGGGAAACUUACGCUAAUACCGCAUACGACCUACGGGUGAAAGCAGGGGAUCUUCGGACCUUGCGCGAUUGAAUGAGCCGAUGUCGGAUUAGCUAGUUGGCGGGGUAAAGGCCCACAAAGGCGACGAUCCGUAGCUGGUCUGAGAGGAUGAUCAGCCACACUGGAACUGAGACGCGGUCCAGACUCCUACGGGAGGCAGCAGUGGGGAAUAUUUGACAAUGGGCGCAAGCCUGAUCCAGCCAUACCGCGUGGGUGAAGAAGGCCUUCGGGUUGUAAAGCCCUUUUGUUGGGAAAGAAAUCCAGCUGGUUAAUACCCGGUUGGGAUGACGGUACCCAAAGAAUAAGCACCGGCUAACUUCGUGCCAGCAGCCGCGUAA
RNAcentral lists this ribosomal RNA (505 nucleotides) under uncultured bacterium. Its description in RNAcentral is "partial 16S ribosomal RNA". It matches the Rfam family "Bacterial small subunit ribosomal RNA", at positions 30 to 522 of the family's 1533-position model. The record is from RNAcentral.